UGAGUUUGAUCCUGGUUCAGAACGAACGCUGGCGGCGUGCUUAACACAUGCAAGUCGAACGCGAAAGGGACUUCGGUCCCGAGUAGAGUGGCGCACGGGUGAGUAACGCGUAAGUAAUCUACCCCUGUAUCUGGAAUAACCCACCGAAAGGUGAGCUAAUACCGGAUACGUUUAUCUUGAUGCGAAUGAUGAUAAAGAAAGGUGGCCUCUUCAUGAAAGCUACCGUACAGGGACGAGCUUGCGUACCAUUAGCUGGUUGGUAGGGUAAUGGCCUACCAAGGCGACGAUGGUUAGCGGGUCUGAGAGGAUGAUCCGCCACACUGGAACUGAAACACGGACCAGACUCCUACGGGAGGCAGCAGUGAGGAAUAUUGCGCAAUGGGGGCAACCCUGACGCAGCGACGCCGCGUGGACGAUGAAGGCCCUUGGGUCGUAAAAUCCUGUCAGAUGGAAAGAAAUGUACAGGUGUUAAUAUCGCCUGUAUUUGACGGUACCAUCAAAGGAAGCACCGGCUAACUCCGUGCCAGCAGCCGCGGUAAUACGGAGGGUGCGAGCGUUGUUCGGAAUUACUGGGCGUAAAGCGCGCGUAGGCGG
RNAcentral lists this ribosomal RNA (594 nucleotides) under uncultured delta proteobacterium. RNAcentral describes it as "bacterial SSU rRNA". It matches the Rfam family "Bacterial small subunit ribosomal RNA", at positions 1 to 578 of the family's 1533-position model. Lineage: Bacteria; Deltaproteobacteria. The record is from RNAcentral.